UACGUAGGGGGCAAGCGUUGUCCGGAAUCAUUGGGCGUAAAGAGCGUGUAGGCGGUUCGGUAAGUCGGUGGUGAAAUCCUGGAGCUCAACUCCAGAACUGCCUUCGAUACUGGGAGUCUCGAGUUCGGGAGAGGUGAGUGGAACUGCGAGUGUAGAGGUGAAAUUCGUAGAUAUUCGCAAGAACACCAGUGGCGAAGGCGGCUCACUGGCCCGAUACUGACGCUGAGGCACGAAAGCGUGGGGAGCAAACAGG
RNAcentral lists this ribosomal RNA (253 nucleotides) under uncultured bacterium. RNAcentral describes it as "partial 16S ribosomal RNA". It matches the Rfam family "Bacterial small subunit ribosomal RNA", at positions 524 to 776 of the family's 1533-position model. The record is from RNAcentral.